This 521-nucleotide ribosomal RNA is filed under the name Carabus monilis consitus. RNAcentral's name for it is "partial 16S ribosomal RNA". It matches the Rfam family "Bacterial large subunit ribosomal RNA", at positions 1829 to 2599 of the family's 2925-position model. The record is from RNAcentral. Lineage: Eukaryota; Metazoa; Arthropoda; Insecta; Coleoptera; Carabidae.
GUCCUUUUGGAGUUUAUUUAAGGUCUAGUCUGCCCACUGAAUUUAUAUUUUAAAUGGCCGCAGUAUUUUGACUGUGCAAAGGUAGCAUAAUCAUUAGUUUUUUAAUUAAAAGCUUGUAUGAAAGGCUGGACGAGGUAAAAUCUGUCUCUAUUUAAAUUAUAAUAGAAUUUAACUUUUAAGUUAAAAGGCUUAAAUAUUAUUAAAAGACGAGAAGACCCUAUAGAUCUUUAUAAUUUAUUAAUUAGGAUAAAUUUAGAAAUAUUUAUGUUUUAUUUAAUUAAUUUAUUUUAUUGGGGUAAUAAAAAGAUUGAAUUAAUUCUUUUUUAUAAUAAACAUUAAUUUAUGAAUAUUUAAUGAUCCAGUUUUACUGAUUAUAAGAUUAAGUUACCUUAGGGAUAACAGCGUAAUUUUUUUAGAGAGUUCAUAUCGAUAAAAAAGUUUGCGACCUCGAUGUUGGAUUAAAGAUUAUUUUAGGUGCAGAAGCUUAAUAAUUUUGGUCUGUUCGACCAUUAAAUCUUUAC